UUCUUAAUGAAAUAAUUUUAAGUAACACCUGCUCAAUGAGUUUUAAAUAGCCGCGGAAAUUUAACUGUGCUAAGGUAGCAUAAUCAUUAGUUUCUUAAUUAGAGACUAGCAUGAAGGGUGAAACAUUUCAAUUACUUUAUUAAUUUAUUUUUAUCAAAUUUUAAUUAAAAAUUAAAAUGUUUUUAUUAUUUAAAAAGACGACAAGACCCUUUUGAACUUUACUUAUGUUAAGCUGGGGCAGCUUUAAAAAAAUUAUCUUCUUAUAAAUUACUUUUAUAAAUGACCCAAUUUAAUUGAAUAUUUGAUCAAGUUACCAUAGGGAUAACAGCGUAAUAUUUUAUUUAAGCUCUUAUUUAAUAAAAUGAUUGCGACCUCGAUGUUGAAUUAUUGUUUCUUUAAAAUGCAACAAUUUUAAAAGUAGGUCUGUUCGACCUUUAAAACUUUACAU
Molecule: ribosomal RNA, 448 nt
Filed under: Poecilopachys sp. 1 DD-2019
Lineage: Eukaryota; Metazoa; Arthropoda; Arachnida; Araneae; Araneidae
Also listed under: 2 other names
Description: partial 16S large subunit ribosomal RNA
Rfam family: Bacterial large subunit ribosomal RNA
Source: RNAcentral